This 98-nucleotide small RNA is filed under the name Nitrobacter vulgaris. RNAcentral's name for it is "RNA-2". It matches the Rfam family "Rhizobiales-2 RNA". Lineage: Bacteria; Pseudomonadati; Pseudomonadota; Alphaproteobacteria; Hyphomicrobiales; Nitrobacteraceae. The record is from RNAcentral.
GGGAGGCCAAACUCCCCUGAGGCUAUAUUAGGCGCGAGCGCCCAUCCACCCCAGCGCCCAUAUGGCUUGACCCGCCCGGUUGUCCCCCCGGGCGGGUC